RNAcentral lists this ribosomal RNA (450 nucleotides) under uncultured bacterium. RNAcentral's name for it is "SSU rRNA". It matches the Rfam family "Bacterial small subunit ribosomal RNA", at positions 26 to 518 of the family's 1533-position model. The record is from RNAcentral.
AGGAUGAACGCUGGCGGUCUGCUUAACACAUGCAAGUCGAACGGAGUACCUCGGUACUUAGUGGCGGACGGGUGAGUAACGCGUGAGAAUCUGCACUUAGGUCGGGGACAACCAUUGGAAACGAUGGCUAAUACCGGAUAAGCCGAGAGGUAAAAGAUUAAUUGCCUAGGGAAGAGCUCGCGUCUGAUUAGCUAGUUGGUGAGGUAAAGGCUCACCAAGGCAUCGAUCAGUAGCUGGUCUGAGAGGAUGAUCAGCCACACUGGGACUGAGACACGGCCCAGACUCCUACGGGAGGCAGCAGUGGGGAAUUUUCCGCAAUGGGCGAAAGCCUGACGGAGCAAGACCGCGUGAGGGAGGAAGGCUCUUGGGUUGUAAACCUCUUUUCUUGGGGAAGAACAAAAUGACGGUACCCAAGGAAUCAGCAUCGGCUAACUCCGUGCCAGCAGCCGC